AUAACAUAAAUAAAAAUAAAUUAUUUAUUUUAUUAAUAAAUAAUAAGAUCAAAUAUAAAAUUAUAUUCUAAAAAGAAUAAAUAUGUCAGUCAGAUUGGCUUAUAGGGCAUACAUCUAACACCAGAGACUAUGGAAGAAGGAGAGGAGGGAAAGUCAAAGGAUGCUAGAUUCUUACCUAGCUUCUGAUGAACUGUGGCAAUGGUUGCCUAUGGCCACAGUGUUGGUGGUGGCCAG
This 234-nucleotide long non-coding RNA is filed under the name Elaeis guineensis (African oil palm). RNAcentral describes it as "long non-coding RNA (EGUI_LNC033395)". Lineage: Eukaryota; Viridiplantae; Streptophyta; Magnoliopsida; Arecales; Arecaceae. The record is from RNAcentral.